GACGAACGCUGGCGGCGUGCUUAACACAUGCAAGUCGAACGGUAAGGCCCUUCGGGGUACACGAGUGGCGAACGGGUGAGUAACACGUGGGUGAUCUGCCCUGCACUUCGGGAUAAGCCUGGGAAACUGGGUCUAAUACCGGAUAGGACCACUGCCUGCAUGGGUGGUGGUGGAAAGCUUUUGAGGUGUGGGAUGGGCCCGCGGCCUAUCGGCUUGUUGGUGGGGUGAUGGCCUACCAAGGCGACGACGGGUAGCCGGCCUGAGAGGGCGACCGGCCACACUGGGACUGAGAUACGGCCCAGACUCCUACGGGAGGCAGCAGUGGGGAAUAUUGCACAAUGGGCGCAAGCCUGAUGCAGCGACGCCGCGUGAGGGAUGACGGCCUUCGGGUUGUAAACCUCUUUCAGCACCGACGAAGCGCAAGUGACGGUAGGUGCAGAAGAAGGACCGGCCAACUACGUGCCAGCCGCCGCAGUAA
RNAcentral lists this ribosomal RNA (478 nucleotides) under uncultured bacterium. Its description in RNAcentral is "partial 16S ribosomal RNA". It matches the Rfam family "Bacterial small subunit ribosomal RNA", at positions 28 to 523 of the family's 1533-position model. The record is from RNAcentral.